Molecule: ribosomal RNA, 237 nt
Filed under: uncultured bacterium
Lineage: Bacteria
Description: partial 16S ribosomal RNA
Rfam family: Bacterial small subunit ribosomal RNA
Source: RNAcentral
CGAACGGGUGAGUAACGCGUGAGGAACCUGCCUCAAAGAGGGGGACAACAGUUGGAAACGACUGCUAGUACCGCAUAAGCCCACGGCUCGGCAUCGAGCAGAGGGAAAAGGAGCAAUCCGCUUUGAGAUGGCCUCGCGUCCGAUUAGCUAGUUGGUGAGGUAACGGCCCACCAAGGCGACGAUCGGUAGCCGGACUGGGAGGUUGAACGGCCACAUUGGGACUGAGACACGGCCCAG